AGGGAUGUAUCUCAAACCAUAGAGCACUCACUUUGCAUGUGAGAGGUACGGGGUUCGAUACCCUGCAUCUCCA
Non-coding RNA from Picea glauca (white spruce), 73 nucleotides. The record is from Rfam. Lineage: Eukaryota; Viridiplantae; Streptophyta; Pinopsida; Pinales; Pinaceae.